Molecule: long non-coding RNA, 1287 nt
Filed under: Anas zonorhyncha (Eastern spot-billed duck)
Lineage: Eukaryota; Metazoa; Chordata; Aves; Anseriformes; Anatidae
Description: lncRNA (ENSAZOG00000003332.1)
Source: RNAcentral
AUGAGGCAGUGCGUGUGCCCCGCUGGUCACACAGGUGCCACGGGUGCAGCACCGGACCCAGGCGGCCACCAGCAUUUUGGGGGGAUGCUUAAAGUAGCUCCGGGUGCCCCUUGCCCAGCCUUUGGGGGUGUAAAUCCCCAGCCCACGGGGAUGGCACCAGCCCCAUGGCUUGGGCGAUGGGAAACGCCACCCAGGCCAAACCUGUCCCCGCUGUGUUUACUGCGAGGGAAGCUGCUGAAGGAGCAGGACCUGGCAGCGGGGCUCCUGGGCUCCCCCCCCAACAUCUUCUCACUAACUCCAGAGGUGGCUCUGGAGGUGGCACAGCCUCUGAGCAGCAGCUGCCCCUGUCCUCGCAGGACGGCUGCCCACGGCCCUGCUGGCAGCGUCUGCACGGGAAUGACGGAGCCAGGGGGACGACCACGGGGCUGGGGACCGAGGCACGCAGCCAGGGGCCACACGCCGGGCACCACCAGGCGCGGGACACACCUGCACCCUGCCACCCCAACGCGUCCCCGCCGGCGGCACCCACCUGUGGAAGAGCAGCAGGAUGGAGAGCAGGGUCUGGUCGAUGUUCCUGUUGCAGAUGCCCUGGUUGAAGAGGUAGCAGGGGUCCCGCACCACGGGCUCCAGCGAGUCCUGGCGCAUGAUGGAGCUCAGCUUGUCGGUGUUGAGGUUCUUGCGGACCAGCUGCUCCUGCAGCUGCCGGAAGCUGCUGACGGUGGGGCUGCCCGGGUUGUUGUUCUCGCCCCCGGCCCCCUCCUCCGGGCCGCUCCGGUUGGCCAAGUCCAGGCAGCAGCUGCAGCAGUCCAGCCCCACGGGCGAGCGGCACUCCUCGCCGGGCGACGAGGACAUCCCGCGCCCCUGCGCGCCUCCAACGCCGCCUCCAACGCCGCCGCCACCGGGGCCGCGCGGAGGGCGAGCGGCGGCAGGGGACGCGCCCGGUACCGAGCGCCGCGCACAGCCAGCCAGCCGCCCGCCCGGCCCCGGCCACGGCCNNNNNNNNNNNNNNNNNNNNNNNNNNNNNNNNNNNNNNNNNNNNNNNNNNGCCGCCCCACCCCGGGCCGCCCCGCGGGAGCCCGCCCCGCCGGCACCCGCUGCUGCCAGCCCCGGCACCGCCCCGCCCGAGGCCGCUGCCAGCCCUCCCCUGGGGGGGGGAGCCCCGCCGGUAGGCGCUGGGGACACGCGGUGCCACCCGGAGCCGCUGGCACCCCGCUGCCGCUGCGCCCCUGGGGCACCACCCUGCUGGCACCCACUGGGGGACCCGCUGGGGACCCGCGGUGGCACUAG